Molecule: ribosomal RNA, 440 nt
Filed under: Metainae sp. LB-2014b
Lineage: Eukaryota; Metazoa; Arthropoda; Arachnida; Araneae; Tetragnathidae
Description: partial 16S ribosomal RNA
Rfam family: Bacterial large subunit ribosomal RNA
Source: RNAcentral
UUUUUAAUGAAAUAAUAUUAAAUCAUACCUGCUCAAUGUCAAAUAAAUAGCCGCAGAAAUUUACUGUGCUAAGGUAGCAUAAUCAUUAGUUUUUUAAUUAAAAACCAGAAUGAAAGGUCCAACAUCCCACUAUCUUUUUCAAUUUUAAAAAUAAAAAUUUUAUUAAAUAUAAAAAUAUAUUUUAUAUAAAAAAAAGACGACAAGACCCCGUCGAACUUAACUUCAGUUAAGCUGGGGAAGCUAAUUAAUUAAAAUUUUAAUAAACAAAAAAAAAUGACCCAAUAAAAUUGAAAAACAGAUCAAGUUACCGCGGGGAUAACAGCGUAAUAAUUUUCUAAAGCUCUAAUUUAAAAAAAAGUUUGCGACCUCGAUGUUGAAUUAAUAAACUUUAAAACGCAAGAGUUUUAAAAGUGGGUCUGUUCGACCCUUAAAUUCUUACA